GGCACUUUGGCGGAGUGGUUAACGCGAUGCCCUGCUAUACAGCCAGGCAUUUCCUUCGGGAGCGUGUGUUCGAAUCACACAGGUGUCG
RNAcentral lists this transfer RNA (88 nucleotides) under Blumeria graminis f. sp. tritici. It matches the Rfam family "tRNA". From Rfam's summary of the family: Transfer RNA (tRNA) molecules are approximately 80 nucleotides in length. Their secondary structure includes four short double-helical elements and three loops (D, anti-codon, and T loops). RNAcentral also lists the same sequence under 1 other name. The record is from Rfam by way of RNAcentral. Lineage: Eukaryota; Fungi; Ascomycota; Leotiomycetes; Helotiales; Erysiphaceae.